Molecule: long non-coding RNA, 1226 nt
Filed under: Felis catus (domestic cat)
Lineage: Eukaryota; Metazoa; Chordata; Mammalia; Carnivora; Felidae
Description: lncRNA (ENSFCAG00000050331.1)
Source: RNAcentral
AGGGAACAUCGAAGCUUCCAAGAGACGUCCUCUCCUCUUUGAGAAUUCCCACCCACCUCUGCACCCUGGUGGCCUCCCGUUCGAUAGCAAAUCCCCUCCGUGCACCUGCCUCCCGCCACCCCGGCCACCGACACAUUUGGGGGACACGGGUAUGCCGUCCGUAGCAGCUGGUGACGAUGUUGCCACAUUCUAUGUGCUUCACAAGAACCGCCUCAUUUCAUCCCAACAGUGCUAGGAGUUACCAGGCGUCGCUUUACCAUCACUGGACACACGGGGGAACUGAGGCAAAGACCUCGGUGAGGUCACCCACCCAAAGUCACCCAGCCGGCAAAGAGAAGAGCCGACGUUCAAAGCCAGCUGCCGAGGACUCUGCCCUUGGGUGACCUUUGCGAAGGAACACAGUCCGAGGGCCUGCAAAAAAGAGGGGCGUAGGCAGCACUCAGAGAAAUGAGCCUUUAGGAAAAGGAAACGUAGAUGAGACACUCCAGAGACCGCGGGCCCAAACUCCCUACCAAGCUCACGCUUGCUUGAGGACCGAGUCGUACGGGGGCCGCGGCGGCAGGAAUCCUGGGUUCUUUGCCCGCUUUCUGUGCACAGCGGAUGUGCCCUGGGUCUUACUGGGUUUUGCCACGCGGGUUUUGUAACGCCUGCUGGCCGCGCAUUCCCGCGCGUUGCCCUGGGGGCGUGCGUGUUAACCCGAGCGCCCACACGUUGUGCACACAAACACACGCUCCCUGCUCGGAGGCCACAGGCAGCCCGGCACAGUGAGAGGUCGUCUUGCUCUGCUGCAGCCCGGCUCCUCCCAGAGAGAAGGACAGGGGUCCCCAAAGCGGCACCCAGAGAGCAAGACGCCUCGAGGAGGAACCCACCGGCCGUCCUCUCUGCCGGAAGGAAGGUGCUUUCUCCCUGGGCUCUGGGCACUCAGCUGCAGGCCCUCCGCCACCACCGGCCGCCUGCCCCGGGGGACCGGGCCGGCACUCUGCACGGGACCGCGCGGAGGGCUGGCGGGGGGCGCACUCCAUCGUACCUCGGGUGUCCCCAGAGCCGCCCUGCAGCCCCGCGGGAGAGUGGGGCUCAGACCGGAGGAAAGAGGGUGGUGAGGCCACCUUUGCGGGGCUGCACAGAGGGGCUGGGCUUGGGGGAGAGUCAGCCCCACCGACCUCUUAGCAGGUGUCGCUGGUAUUAUCAGAGAAAACCCAGAACAUCUUAUUUUCUGGGAAGGCCGG